UACGGGGGGUGCAAGCGUUGUUCGGAAUUACUGGGCGUAAAGGGCGCGUAGGCGGCCCUCUAAGUCAGACGUGAAAUCCCACGGCUCAACCGUGGAACUGCGUCUGAUACUGGAGGGCUUGAAUCCGGGAGAGGGAUGUGGAAUUCCAGGUGUAGCGGUGAAAUGCGUAGAUAUCGGGAGGAACACCAGUGGCGAAGGCGACUACCUGGCCUGUUCUUGACGCUGAGGCGCGAAAGCUAGGGGAGCAAACGGG
This 253-nucleotide ribosomal RNA is filed under the name uncultured bacterium. RNAcentral's name for it is "partial 16S ribosomal RNA". It matches the Rfam family "Bacterial small subunit ribosomal RNA", at positions 524 to 776 of the family's 1533-position model. The record is from RNAcentral.